RNAcentral lists this ribosomal RNA (316 nucleotides) under uncultured Chloroflexota bacterium. Its description in RNAcentral is "bacterial SSU rRNA". It matches the Rfam family "Bacterial small subunit ribosomal RNA", at positions 28 to 351 of the family's 1533-position model. Lineage: Bacteria; Bacillati; Chloroflexota. The record is from RNAcentral.
GAUGAACGCUGGCGGCGUGCCUAAUACAUGCAAGUCGAACGGAGAGAGCAAUCUCUUAGUGGCGAACGGGUGAGUAACGCGUUGGUGACCUGCCCCGAAGUGUGGGAUACCAGGCCGAAAGGCUUGCUAAUACCGCAUGACCCACCGGAAGAUUAGAAACCGGGUGGGAAAGCCGAAAGGCGCUUUGGGAGGGGCCUGCGUCCCAUCAGCUAGUUGGUAAGGUAACGGCUUACCAAGGCGAAGACGGGUAGGGGACCUGAGAGGGUGACCCCCCACAAUGGAACUGAAACACGGUCCAUACACCUACGGGUGGCAG